ACAGUUUGAAGGAUCUGAACAGGUAUUCAUCUUAUACUGAAAUUCUGUGGUAUUUAAUUAUCUGCCUUUGAAAAUCUUUUCAUGGUGCUACUAUUGUUUGAGUGACAGAUUUUUUUUUUCCCUGUAAGGAACAACACCAACAGAAAUACAAGCCCUGUGUAAAAACAUUCCCUUAUGAACUUACUGCCUGUUAGUCUCUUUCUAGCUAUCCCAUUUCCUAUCUUCCUACAAGCUAAAAGAAGAAAAAAGCAAGUCUUGAAAGACAAACAAAUGUUAGCAAAUGGAGGCUGUUGCAGUGCAAAAGUGGGAUUAAUUUCACCUAAAUUUAGGGAGCAGGGUGUUUCUUGGAGGAAGGCAGGGCUAUGAAAGUCUGCAGUUCUUCAUUCCUUGAAGAGGAUCCUUUGAAACCUCAGAGAGAGCCCUGUGGGUCUGAGAAGGUCUGCCCAGAGGAACAAGAAGCACUUCCUAAGGAAAAGUCUCCAGAAUCAGAACCACAACUGGAAGUUUUUUGGGGAAAUGUAUUUGUCUUUUGUUUAACUAUAGUAUUAAGCACAGGUACAGUGCUCUAUAAGCAAAAAUCAUAUGUUGUGAAUCUUUAACCAGAGCUGCUAAUCACAGCAUUUAAAUGUACUCAUACAUGCUAGGUCACUUUCCACAGUA
RNAcentral lists this long non-coding RNA (660 nucleotides) under Anser brachyrhynchus (Pink-footed goose). RNAcentral's name for it is "lncRNA (ENSABRG00000009102.1)". The record is from RNAcentral. Lineage: Eukaryota; Metazoa; Chordata; Aves; Anseriformes; Anatidae.